AUGAAGUAGCUGCAAAGUGUCUAGAGCGAAAAACCAACAUGCCACCUCUUCCUCAGGCAGAUGUGGCACUUGAGUGCGCUUCCCUGCAGGCCACGGGCGCUCCAGUAAGGACAGCUAGGCACUUGCAUUCUGGCAGAGGCUUGUGUCCAGAUUCUGAGAUAAAAUGGGUGUAAAGGGGAAAAUCAACGCUUCUCCUGGCUUGUCUCCAAAAAUGGGAAGAGUUCCAACUGUUUGUGAUGUUUUAUAACGAGAGAUUGAGGUUUCACUUGUGAGGAGAAAAGGCAUCUCAUCUGCUCAGCUGGAGGGGCAGUGGACAAGUACGGAAUCAGAGGCAGCACCUGCAGCCCCCCCUGCAGAGCGGCAAGAGCCAGGGGAACAUCUGCAUCUAGUUGAUUGACAAAGUCUAAAAAUCUGUUAAAAAACAGAAGGGGACCUCCAAUAUUUGAAAAUGAGACAAUAAUAAUGAAGAUUAUUCAAAGCAAAGACGUGGUGUGUCAAUAAUCAACAGCUGUUUGAAUAGAAAAUCAAAAACUUGCUGUUACCCAGCAGCACGCCGGAGACUGCCUUCUUUUACCAAAAGCUUUCAGUGAUGACAUACACACCAUUUUCUGUGGCCAAGGGAGAUAACCGGAAUCUGGGGAGACACAUGCCUUUGCUAGUCGGUUUUGGUUAAUCUUUUGUCAGUGUCAACAGCAGCCUCCAGUUUCUCUGGCCCACAGUUGUGUUGCAAGUUGAAUACACAUGAUUUCUGCUGACAAAGCCUUCAGAGCAGGUAGAAGAGGUAAAGUUGAAAUAUUCAAAAUAUACCUGUGAUGACGUACGCUGGAAUGAAAAAAAAGGGAAGAGAAAAAUAAAAAGCCUACCACGCUGAUGGUACCAUACACCAGUACCUCCUGUCUGGAAGCAUGGGGAUGCAAACACUGUGAGCUAUGGAGGGAAUGGAGGAUCUGUUGAUACUCAGAAGAAGUUGUAUCUAGAAGACCAGCAUGAAGCUGGAGUCCUCAUCAGCUGGAUAGAUGUGCACAUUUAGUCCAAGGAGAUUGUUCAUUACUCUGGAUGUUUGCUCUUCACCCUGUCUCCCUUCCCAGCCAUCUGUUCAGCUUUUCUCUGCUGGAAAAUAGGCAAAGAACGGGUGCCACUUGUGCCACCGGCUCUCCUCCUACCAGCUGCAAGUGCUUUGCUGACUACCAGUUGCUUGUGGAGCAGGGUGUGGGGCCCGCCAGCAGCGAAGCGUCAGCAAUGGCAGCAUUUCCCGCACACAGACAGUCACUGCAACCUUUGCAGAACCCUCUGAAAUACUGUUAUCCAGCCAGAGCUGUCACUCCACGCUGUAUCUGGAGCAAUCCAAACUGGAGAGGUCACUUGUUAACUUAGCGACAUUUCUAGAAAAGAAGGUAUACCGCCCUGCAUCAGGGAGUGGUGUACUUCCUGGGAAAGGAUAUAAUGGAAGUCACACAUAAAAAUACAUGGAGCUGCCUUAAAGUAUGAGUUAUCAGUGGCUUCUCACAGACUCUGCACAUUAAGGCUGGUAUAUAAAAUAAUUUGUUUCUUGUUUUAAUUUUUAUGAUUGAUGUUAAAAUGUAUUGUAUGUUCUUACCUGAAUCUCAGUGUCACCUCUUAGAAGAUGCAAACUUCAGCGCAAAGAGGGACCUGCCAGUCAACUCUCUUUAGUUUGCUUUGUAAAGAAGCCAGGCAGACCAAUUCUCCUUUUGCCUGCAUUCCUGUCUCAGGUAUUGCAGUGACUGCCUGGAAGAAGAAACAAGUUAAUUCAGCACCACAUAUAAUUUGUUGGUGGUGUCUGACUUAAGGCAAAAAUUUUGGAAUAAACUGUUAUUUCUUCUUCUCUGUGUAAUUCAGUUUGUUACUACUGCCGUCAUCUUUUCUGUGCAGUCCAACAAAUGUGUGUGCUGUGUAUAAGACAUCUCAGAUUGCUAUUUGGGCACAAACAUAUGGAGUCAACAAAUGACUUGUACAUUACAGCUGUAAAACUGAAACCUGUGAAAUCAGCCAAGUAUUAUUCACUCACGUUUGACAGUACUUGAAAUAUGAACCAUACUAAACAAAUGGCUCUUUUCAAGCCCACCAAAAAGACAAGGUGAAGGAACAAAUGCCAGGCAGUAAGAAGAAAGCAAAAGAUACUCAGGAGGGAACUCACAUAAACAAAUGCAAAACCCCCUGCACUUCAGGACAGUUGGCUGUAAAUUAAUUUCAAGCAGGUAAUCAAAACAUUUUUGUUUUUCAUAAGUUUUACUAUUUUUGUAGAUUUAUUCAUAUGUAAUACAUGUCAUAUAUAGUCUAAUGUGGUUACAUGUGUUCAGAUAUAAAAAGUCAUUCAUAUUUCAAGGAUA
This is a non-coding RNA of Phalacrocorax carbo (great cormorant), 2348 nucleotides long. The record is from RefSeq and is a predicted model, not a curated record. NCBI's taxonomy places the organism in Eukaryota, Metazoa, Chordata, Aves, Suliformes, Phalacrocoracidae.